UUGACCUGCCGGACCUGACUGCUAUCGGAUUGGUACUAAGCCAUGCGAGUCGUUGUAGCAAUACAAGGCGGACUGCUCAGUAACACGUAGUUAACUUAACCUAUGGAUGGGAAUAACCUCGGGAAACUGAGAAUAAUACCCAAUGGGCCACAGUGCCUGGAAUGGCCUGUGGUUGAAAUGAUUUAUCGCCGUAGGAUAGGACUGCGGCCUAUCAGCUUGUUGGUGAGGUAAUGGCCCACCAAGGCUAUAACAGGUACGGGCUCUGAGAGGAGGGGCCCGGAGAUGGGUACUGAGACACGGACCCAGGCCCUAUGGGGCGCAGCAGGCGAGAAACCUUUGCAAUGUGCGAAAGCACGACAAGGUUAAUCCGAGUGUCUCCUGCUAAAGGAGUCUUUUGUCAGUUGUAGAAUCACUGGUGAAUAAGGGGUGGGCAAGUUCUGGUGUCAGCCGCCGCGGUAAAACCAGCACCUCGAGUGGUCAGGAGGUUUAUUGGGCCUAAAGCAUCCGUAGCCGGUUGCGUAAGUUUUCGGUUAAAUCUAUGCGCUUAACGUAUAGGCCGNCGAAAAUACUGUGCAGCUAGGGAGUGGGAGAGGUCACGGUACUCGAUAGGAAGGCGUAAAAUCCUUUGAUC
Molecule: ribosomal RNA, 631 nt
Filed under: uncultured archaeon
Lineage: Archaea
Description: bacterial SSU rRNA
Rfam family: Archaeal small subunit ribosomal RNA
Source: RNAcentral